UAGGGCCCCUGGGCGGGUGGUGUGCGGCGCUCGCCGCCCCUCGCGCGGUCCUCCACCCCCACUCCACCACCAGAGGUAGUAGCUGAGUCACUCACUGAGGGGCCGCCGGCGCGGCCACUCGCGGUCCCUAACAGACACUAAGGUCUCGGGCGCCCCCCAGAGGCUCUCUUUCCUCCGCUGACAUCUUUAUGGUCUCGGGACCAUGGUCCCCGCCAGUCCUAAAGACUCCCACUGCGCCCUGACUCUGCCCUACCCUGUUUCUACUCCGUCUACUGGAUCCAUUUUAUUCCAGUCCUCUCCUCCACCUCCCCACGAUCUCCUCACUAGGGUUGCAAUGAGUUUCCAAGAAUGAAAACGGAAAAUUCUUCCCCACAUGGCAUAGACCCUUCCUAUCAACGCAUACCUCCAGAACUGUAACUCUUCCAGGAAGCCCAGACUCUUUCUACAAAGCUUCCGAGAACCCUGGGCUCCUCCACUCUUCUUCCCUGGUCUCCCUACGACCGGAGUUCUAAAUGCUGGUUUAGCCCCUCGUCUGGUGCAGCUUCCUCUCCUGUACUUCCAGCCCUAAGGUGACGACACUGCAGUGGCCAUACGGGGUAUAACGCCGCCGAGGGUCAUCUUGUGACGCCACAAAGCCGUCGGGUUCAGGAACCGAGGAGUGGGAGUGGGGGCUACCGGGCGAGCACCUCUG
Molecule: long non-coding RNA, 691 nt
Organism: Suricata suricatta (meerkat)
Lineage: Eukaryota; Metazoa; Chordata; Mammalia; Carnivora; Herpestidae
Exons: 3
Source: RefSeq, a predicted model, not a curated record